This 397-nucleotide ribosomal RNA is filed under the name uncultured Gammaproteobacteria bacterium. RNAcentral describes it as "bacterial SSU rRNA". It matches the Rfam family "Bacterial small subunit ribosomal RNA", at positions 114 to 507 of the family's 1533-position model. Lineage: Bacteria; Pseudomonadati; Pseudomonadota; Gammaproteobacteria. The record is from RNAcentral.
UGUCUGGGAAACUGCCUGAUGGAGGGGGAUAACUACUGGAAACGGUAGCUAAUACCGCAUAACGUCGCAAGACCAAAGAGGGGGACCUUCGGGCCUCUUGCCAUCAGAUGUGCCCGGAUGGGAUUAGCUAGUAGGUGGGGUAACGGCUCACCUAGGCGACGAUCCCUAGCUGGUCUGAGAGGAUGACCAGCCACACUGGAACUGAGACACGGUCCAGACUCCUACGGGAGGCAGCAGUGGGGAAUAUUGCACAAUGGGCGCAAGCCUGAUGCAGCCAUGCCGCGUGUAUGAAGAAGGCCUUCGGGUUGUAAAGUACUUUCAGCGGGGAGGAAGGGAGUAAAGUUAAUACCUUUGCUCAUUGACGUUACCCGCAGAAGAAGCACCGGCUAACUCCGUG